RNAcentral lists this ribosomal RNA (805 nucleotides) under Salmonella enterica subsp. enterica serovar Newport. RNAcentral's name for it is "partial 23S ribosomal RNA". It matches the Rfam family "Bacterial large subunit ribosomal RNA", at positions 383 to 1190 of the family's 2925-position model. Lineage: Bacteria; Pseudomonadati; Pseudomonadota; Gammaproteobacteria; Enterobacterales; Enterobacteriaceae. The record is from RNAcentral.
AAGCGCAUGUGCUGUGAGCUCGAUGAGUAGGGCGGGACACGUGGUAUCCUGUCUGAAUAUGGGGGGACCAUCCUCCAAGGCUAAAUACUCCUGACUGACCGAUAGUGAACCAGUACCGUGAGGGAAAGGCGAAAAGAACCCCGGCGAGGGGAGUGAAAAAGAACCUGAAACCGUGUACGUACAAGCAGUGGGAGCACAGGUUUACCUGUGUGACUGCGUACCUUUUGUAUAAUGGGUCAGCGACUUAUAUUCUGUAGCAAGGUUAACCGUAUAGGGGAGCCGAAGGGAAACCGAGUCUUAACCGGGCGUUAAGUUGCAGGGUAUAGACCCGAAACCCGGUGAUCUAGCCAUGGGCAGGUUGAAGGUUGGGUAACACUAACUGGAGGACCGAACCGACUAAUGUUGAAAAAUUAGCGGAUGACCUGUGGCUGGGGGUGAAAGGCCAAUCAAACCGGGAGAUAGCUGGUUCUCCCCGAAAGCUAUUUAGGUAGCGCCUCGUGAAUUCAUCUCCGGGGGUAGAGCACUGUUUCGGCUAGGGGGCCAUCCCGGCUUACCAACCCGAUGCAAACUGCGAAUACCGGAGAAUGUUAUCACGGGAGACACACGGCGGGUGCUAACGUCCGUCGUGAAGAGGGAAACAACCCAGACCGCCAGCUAAGGUCCCAAAGUCAUGGUUAAGUGGGAAACGAUGUGGGAAGGCCCAGACAGCCAGGAUGUUGGCUUAGAAGCAGCCAUCAUUUAAAGAAAGCGUAAUAGCUCACUGGUCGAGUCGGCCUGCGCGGAAGAUGUAACGGGGCUAAACCAU